UCGGAUAUGGUGUAACGGCUAACAUUGCUGCCUCUCAUCUUGCGAGAGUUUGGUCCGCAGCAGCUCGGGGUUCGAUUCCCCGUAUCCGAA
Molecule: non-coding RNA, 90 nt
Organism: Coprinopsis cinerea okayama7#130
Lineage: Eukaryota; Fungi; Basidiomycota; Agaricomycetes; Agaricales; Psathyrellaceae
Source: the annotation of a RefSeq genome assembly